Molecule: ribosomal RNA, 508 nt
Filed under: Brucecaris tenuis
Lineage: Eukaryota; Metazoa; Arthropoda; Malacostraca; Decapoda; Palaemonidae
Description: partial small subunit ribosomal RNA
Source: RNAcentral
AAAUAUAUUCAGCUAAUUUUAUUUUUGACGGGAAGUGAAAUUUAUAAUAAUUUAGUAAGAUUAAAUAUAAUAUAUUAAUUUAGAAGCUAUAAAAAUUUGGGUUUAGACUAGGAUUAGAUACCCUAUUAUUCCAUUUAUAUAAUUUUUGCUUGAGUAGUAAUCAGUUAUGUUCUUGAAACUUAAAAGAUUUGGCGGUAUUCAAGUCUGUUUAGAGGAGCCUGCUCUGUUAACGAUACACCACGAAAUAUCUUACUUUUUCUUGUUUAUCUCAGUAUGUAUACCGCCAUUGUAAAAUAAUAUUUUAAAAUAAAUAUUUGAAUAGAUUUUUUCUAAUAUAUUAGGUCAAGGUGCAGCCUAUGUUAAAGUUGUAGUGGGCUACAAUAUAAUUUAUAUUAGCGGAGAGUAAGUUGAACAAUAUUCUUGAAGUUGGAUUUAAUAGUAUGCUUGUUUUAAUAAGUCAAGUUGAUGUUGCCCUAGAAUAUGUACAUAUCGCCCGUCGCUCUCAUUA